Molecule: long non-coding RNA, 8694 nt
Organism: Loxodonta africana (African savanna elephant)
Lineage: Eukaryota; Metazoa; Chordata; Mammalia; Proboscidea; Elephantidae
Exons: 3
Source: RefSeq, a predicted model, not a curated record
GUUUACAGACACACAACCCCCAGAAUGAAGGAGAGCCCGGGACCCCUGGAGGAAGCGUUACCGGAAAAGGUGGAUUCAGCUGCCUGCUGCAAGCCAGUAGUGAGGUAGGAGGAGAGAUAACAUGAGAAAGAAGCAAGCGGAGAGAGGAAGGACCUAACUACCACCAAGAAAGAAGUACUGGGAGAGGAUCACAUCCCUUUGAACCCAGGGUUCCUGCGCUGAGAACCUCCCAGACCCAGGGAGUGUUACCUGGGCAUCCAAAGUACUCUCCCCCUGGGGAAUCUUCAAGGGAACCUGUCGGACCUGAAGCUGAUACUGCAGGAGUUAGGGUGGCCCAACUCAACUUUGUUCAGUGGCAGCACCUGGAAGUAUGAUAUAAGUUGUGUAAAAUAGCAUCCCUUUUGUAGUCUGUUGUAAUUGUACUCCAUUUUGUGAUGUCUUGUAGAUUCCUGUAAUGGGAUCCCUGGUGUCUCAGUGCUUAAAGCACUUGGCUAACCCAAAAAGAUCAGCAGGUGUGGCGGUCUGCUUCUAUAAAGAUUUACAGCCUUGAAAUCCCAUGUUUUUCAGCUUGAUGAGUGAAAUCUACAUGUCACUGUUAUUUGCUUCUCAUCCUUUGUGUAAAAACCAAGUCAAGGAAUGCUCUAUGCUUAUUGGUCAUAUGCAUUUAUUCUGUAGUUAACUGUUGGCUUGUAUUCUUUGCCUAAUUUUAAACUUUCUUCAGUUUUAUAGAUUUCAGUUUAUCCUAUUUCAUUGUAGAGUGUUAAAUCUACAUAGAUAUUGUUACUGGUUUUGCCUAAUGUUAUAGUUUUUCUUUUAUGUAUUGAAUCCCAAUUUUCUAUUUGCAUUUUACACUGGGAGUGUGGGUCUUUCACCAUAUAGAUAUAUAUAUGAUUUUUAUGAAGGAAAAAUAAAUUAAAACAAGUUAGAUAUUGUUUUGUAUUUUGCCUUUUAAUUUCCUUAAAAUAUAAUUGUUCCUGGUGGUUCAAAGGAUUUGAGCUCACCCAGAAGCUCCACAUAGCCAAGAAGAACCUAUACAGCAAUUCUGCUCUGAAACACGUGUGGUCACCAUGAGACAGAAUCGAAUGGACAGCAGUAGUUUUUUCUCUCUGUCUGCUUUUCUCUUUAUUCCCCCCUCUUUUUUUGCUUAGUUCCUUCCUUCUCUCUGUUCCUCUGCUCACUCUAUCUCUCCCUCUCUCUACGUAUCCUUUGCUUUGCCUUCUUCACCUCCUUUCUCCUCCUUUCCCUUUGGAUUCCUCCCUGACUCAAUUUCGAGUCACAGCAACCCCGUGUGACAGAGUAGAACUGCCCCAUAGGGUUUUGUUGGCUGUAAUCUUUACAGAAGCAGAUCACAAGAUCUUUCUUCUGUGGAGCCGCUCGCUGGGUGGGUAAGAACUGUCAACCUUUUGGUUAGCCGUCAUGUGCUUAACAUUUGUGCCACCACGACUUCUUACCAUUCGCUAAAUAACUUCUCUUUUGCCACAGAAUUUUUCUUCCAUUCUUAUCAUAAAUUCUCACGUGGAGUUCAGUUUGUCUCUGGACCUCCCAAUCUGUUUAUUGAUUUAUUUGCCUUUCUCUGCUACCAAAAUCUUUGAAUUAUUCUCACUACACUUUAAUAUCUUGGCAGGUCUAGUGAUGUUUAGAAGAUCUCUGGCUAAAUUUAUGAGGUAAUGUUUCCCAACUGUGGUUUGGUACACCCAGGAUAUGCUAAAAGCUUGGGAGUGGGCAAAGGAUCUGAAUAGACAUUUCUCCAAAGAAGAUACAUAAGAGGUCAAUGUGCACAUGAAAAGAUGCUUGACAUCAUUAGCUGUCAAGGAAAUGCAAAUCAAAACCACAGGGAGAUACCACCUCACUAGGAUGCCUAGAAUCCAAAAGUCAGAUAAUAACAAGUGUAGGCAAGGAUGUGGAAGCAGUAGUCAGGAAAUCAAAUGAUUUAUUGCAUUGGGCUAAUCUGUUGCAAAAGACCUACUACUCCGUGUCUCACUGGCCCCGGGCCCCAACACCUCAAGUAGAGAAGGCAUUUGUCUUCCCUAUUGCCAUUUGGCAGGUAAGGAAACCAAGUUUCUUAGGCUUCAAAGAGUCAGAUCUUCACCAGCUUGAUUCCAAAGUGUGGGGCUGCUGUUCAGCAGUGCCAGUGGAAUGGGAUCAGAUCCACUGCCGAAAGCUAAGGGAGUGGGGCUGCCACACCAAAGGGGCUGAAGAAGGGGCUCUGCCAGGGCUGAGGGGGUAGGAUUGCCGCUCAGACAGACUAGGAGAAUGGGGCUCCACAAAUCCAAAGGAACAGAGUUCUGUUCCAGUCCUGAAAGGCAGAGCUGAGGCCCAGAACCAAGGGGCCUCCACUCUGAAUCCAGAGAGUGUGGCCAACACCCAGAGCCUAGAGGGCAGGGCCAUUAGCUAAAUGUUCUCCUCAGAGAACAGAGGAUUAUUUUCCAGUGUUGAGAGUUAAUACAAUGUGUUCUGCUGACUUGCUUGGUGCCUGUUGUCCCUUCUUUCCCUCCAAUUUCUCACAUUUCUAACGGAAAUGUCUACCUUCUGUUGGAAGAAGAUAACUUGAAUUCUAGGUUGCACAGACGAAGAAGAAUUUUGCCCCAGGUUGGAAUUUGGACUUGGAGUUAAUUUAAGACUUUUGGAAUGAUAUGAUAGGGUGAAUGUGUUUUACAUAUGGCAAGGACAUGAAUUUUGGGAGACCAAAGGGUGGAAUGCUGUGGAUUAGACUGUGUCCCCAAAAAUGUGUAUUCAGUUGGCUAGGCCAUGAUUUCCAGUAUUGUGUGGCUGCCCACCAUUUUGUGAUCUGAAGUGAUUCACUUGUGUGCUGUAAAUCUUAACUUCUAUGAUGUUGAAGCAGUUUAGAGGCAGUUAUGUUAAUGAGGCAGGACUCAAUCUACAGGAUUAGGUUGUGUCUUGAGUUAAUCUCUUUUGAGAUGUAAAAGACAGAAGUGAGCAGGAAGACAGGUGGAUGUCUUAAGACCAAGAAAGGAGCAUGUCUUUUGGUCCUGUGUUCCUAGAGCACAGAACACUGAAGAAAAGGACCUUCACCCAGAGCCUACUGAGAAAGAAAGCCUUCCCCUGAAACUGGCACCCUGAAUUCAGAUUUCUAGCCUCCUACACUGUGAAGGAAUAAAUUUGUUUGUUAAAGCCAUCCAAGUGUGGUAUUUCUGUUAUACCAGCAGUAGAUAAUGAAGACACUAAGCUACUGGAAACCAGGACACCUAGCUCUAGGGAAUUUCAGAGCUAAAGCCUUGCUAGGGAGCCUCUUUUAAAAGCCCAGCACCUCAGAGUCCUCUGGUCAAAGGCACUGCCUCAUUGUUCAAGGACCCCGGCCUUGGGCAGGGCUUUCUGCCUGGGCACAAACUCAUAGGGACAACUUAGAAUACAGCACCCAGCAGACCAUUAAUACCAUGGACGGUUGGUAUUUGCGAAACGUUAAAAAACACACUCACAGUGCCAGACCCAGGGUGAAAUUGCUGGGGGUGCAGAAAACAAACCUCUGCAGGCUCCAGAAAAGGACUGAUUGGGAAGGGUCCGUGUCAUCCUCUACACGUGACAUAAUGCUCAUCUCUUGGCCAAUCCAGAUGAGGCUCCAGGUGAGCCCUGAGACCAUAAUGGGCACACACACUCCUACUUUGUGCCUGACCUGAGAAUGGAAACCCCAAAACCUCAUUCUUUCACUCGUUUAACAGUUAUCAUUGUAACACUGUGUAAAUUAUUAUUUCUAUUUUGACAAGGCUAUGAAGGAAGGGUGCAUGGUCUGGAGAGAGUUUAUAAUAGGCUUCCUCCAACCUGGAUAAUCAGGGAUGGCUCUUUGCAGAAGUGACAUUUAAGCUGAGACCCAAAGAAUGCCUAGGAAUUACUUAGGUGAAAGGACAAGGAAUGAGGAGGGGAGAGUGGGGAGGGCAUCCCAGCAGAAGGGACAGCCUGAACAAAGAGCCAGGGUGGGGAGGAGCAUAGAGUUUGGCAGAGCUGAUGUCCCUCUUGAUUUCAGUGCUAUGAGUCUUUUGUCACACCCAGAGAGCAGGGACGAGAGAAGGUGGCCUCAGUGCACUGUUGGUUCCUAUGAGCUCAGACCUCUACCCCAGAAGCUGUGGAUAACUGCUGCUUCCUUCAUCCCGUGUGGACAGUGGUGGCUAGUAGCAUAAGCUGUCUGAGCCUGCCCACUAGGCUUCCUGGGGGUCCUGUAGACAUUGCCCCAUAUGUCGCUUGCUCCCUGCAUCAAUCUAACUGAGGGCUCUCACUGACCACAGCUAAUUCUUUUCUGCAGAAUAUAAAGUCUCUAAACCAAUCCUAUACUGCAGUGAGAAUGAAUAACCCAUGACUACGUACAAUGAUACAAAUGAAUCUUGAAAAGAGUUUUGAGCAAAGAAACCAGGCACAAAAGACAUACUGUAUGAUUCCAUUUGUAUAAAAUGCAAAAACUGACAGGGUACUUGGGACUUUAAUUCCCACCUUCCUUUGGCACUACAGUUAUACAGACUGGAGAGGAAAAAAGAAGGGAUGGAGAAAGGGUACUGCGCUAAUCUAAGGGCGAGGUGCCAUUAUAGGUGCUCGGGGGCAUGGUGAGUUAACACACACUCAGAUAUAAUUUUAUCAUAAUCUAAAACCAGGGCAGCCAUAGGAUUUAGGGGGGCACCAGAUAGUGGCAAAUGGUGGCACACCCAGCAAUUGCUGAGAUUUCCUCCUCAGCCACAGCUUGGGACAUGGUAACUAGGCUAUUAGAUGACCAGUCCCAUCUAUGUGGGAGGUGAGAUGGUUCCUUUUUCCCAAUUGUAAUCACAUGGGUCCCUUUUCCCCAGCGAUUUCAACAUCUGAGUGGUAUCCUUUCUUAUAUUUCACACAGAAAUACGUGCCUGUAUUGGAUAGAGAACCAUUCUGGAUAAUAAUAGAAAAAUCACGAUUUUUAGACUAAGUAGUGUUUGCCAUGGGGGAAGCUUGAGGAAAAACACCAGCUGCUUCCCAAACUAGAGACUGCCCUCCUCCUAGGGAUUCUUAAGUCCACUUAAUAGGACCUACAAGGGUUAAAAAAGAGAACACAAGGAAGAGUCAGGGUAUCUCCUACAUGUAAACUCAAGGUGCCUCCAGACUGGAGGAUUGUCAGACCCUGGCUUAACCCUUUUUGGGUCGAGGCAGGCCUGACCUGGUACAGAAAAAGAAUAAGGAUUAGAAUCAUGUUUGAGUCUUUGAGAAUCUCUACUUUAAGCCCUGAACCGGGAUGCAUGUAUGCAAGGAUUCCUCAGUCUCUUUGCUAGGUUCUUCCUGAGGAGGUGGGGCUGCCUUCACUCUAGUAUGAUGCACCCAAGCAGUCGCUCCGGCCAGCUUCACAGACGAAUGAGUAGUUAGAAGGACCUCAUACAAUCCCAGCCAGAUGGGGGCCAGUUUAUCUUCAGGAUGCUGAUUUUCUGAACCGUUAACAGGACCCAAUCUCCUGGCUUGAACCUAUGGAGAGGCACAUCAGAAGCGAAGGACAAAUGAGAAGAAGCAUAUUUGUUACUGGUAUUUAUAACUGCUCCUAAGCAUCGGACCCAAUCUUUCUUUUCACCUUCUAUCAUGACUGAGGUGGGGAAAGUUGACCGUUUCAGGAAUGGUCUCCCAUAUAUAAGUUCAUAAGGACUCAACUUAAGUCCGCUUCGAGGGGCCACCUGAAUCCUAAGCAGGGCAAUUGGUAAUACCUGUAGCCAGGUGGAGUGGGUUUCUUGGCAAAGGUUGGCAAGAGUCUCUUUCAAAGUAUGGUUCAUCUUUUCAGUCUUUCCAGUAGAUUUUGCUCUCCAUGCCGAGUGUAGUUUCCAGUUAAUGUCUAAAGCCUUACUAAGUUCUUGAUUCACCUGGACCACAAAGGCUCCCUCACUGUCGCUCUGAAUUGAGAGUGGCAAGCCAAAUCGGGAAAUAAUUUCUUUAAGUAAUGUCUUAGUCACUUCUUGAGCUUGUUCAGUCCUACAAGGGAGAGCCUCUACCCACCCAGAGUAUGUGUCCACAAAGACCAGCAAAUACCUGAAGUUUCCAGCUGCUUGAGGCGUCACCGUAAAAUCCACUUGCCAAUCUUCACCCAUGCUCAUCCCUUGAUGUUGGAUCCCUGGCUCCACUGGGUGAGGUACUGUCUUUGGAUUGUUUUUAGCACACAGUGGACAUCUUUUAGUGACCUCACAUACUGUCUUAAGAAUCUUUGGUCCUGCAGCUAUUCGUUGGAUCCAUUCGAGACUUGCGUCCCUCCCACAAUGAGUGCUUUCAUGCAGAGUUGAUAUUACGUUACACAGUUGGUUUUAUGGUAACAAUGUUUUCCCUUCAGAAUUAGUCAGCCAACUAGAGCCUGGCAAAGAUUGAAAUCCCCAUCCCUUCUCCCUAUUUAAAUCUUGGGGGGUAUAUGACGGCUGGAGGAACUCAUCAAGGUUCAAAUGGGGAGUCAGGGCUAACUCCUGUCCCGUCUCUCCCCAUUCUUUUAAGGCUGCCCUUUUUUGCUUCCAUAUCAGCUUUUCAAUUUCCAACGGCCUCAAAGGAUUGCCCCUUUCAAUGUCCUGGGCAACAUACCACUGCUACCUGGAGAGGGUCAUGAACGGCUUCUAGGAGCUCAAGGAUCUCAGACACAUUUUUUAUUUCUUUAUUAGCGGCUGUCAGGAGUUAUCUCUCUUUCCAUAAGGCCCUGUAGGAAUGUAGAACUAAAUGGGCAUACCUGCUGUCCGUGUAAAUGAUCACUCGCCUCCCUUUUCCCAUACGGAGAGCCUGACUGAGAGCUAGGAGCUCAGCCUUCUGGGCCGAAGUUCAUUUAGGCAAGGGGACAGCCUCCAAGAUGUUUGUCAGGGUUACCACUGCAUAUCCUGUUACUCGACGUCCUUCAUGCAUAAAGCUGUUUCCAUCUGUGAAUAUUUCAAUGUCAGUAUCCUGCAGUACAUCAGACAAGUCAUGUCCGCUUGAAUAGACUUCUUCAAUGACUUCCACACAGUCAUGUAUCGGCGUGUCUUCAGAUAUUGGCAACAACGUAGCGGGGUUUAAAGAGGAGGCAGCCUUUAAAACAACAUUAGAGUUAUCCAACAGGAUGGCCUGGUAUCGUCUCAUGCGGCCUGCCGUAAACCAGAACCCCCCUUUUUGUUCUAAGAGAGGAAGAACUGCAUGCGGGGUAUUUACAGUCAGCUUUUGGUCGAGUGUGAAUUUUUCAGCGUCUUGGAGCAAGUCACAAGUUGCGGCUACCGCCUGCAAGCACGGUGGCCAUCCCCUAGCCACGGUGUCCAAUCCUUUGAGAAAUAUGCCACAGGGCACCGAGCCAAGCCCAAAAUCUGAGCCAGGACUCCCACAGCAAUCCUCUGCCUCUCAUGCACAAACAGUUCAAAGGGCUUUUGCAAAUCAGGCAAUUCUAAUGCUGAGGCCAUCAUCAAUUUGUAUUUAAUUUUUUCAAAGGCUUGCUGAUAUUCUUUAGUCCACACUGAAGGUUCCUUCUCUUCCUCUUUCAGGGCUUUAUAAAGGGGUUUUGCCAAGACUCCAAACCCGGGAAUCCAGAUUCAACAGAAUCCAGACAUUCCCAGGAAUCCUCUUAGCUGUCUCUUAGAGACUGGGACUGCCAUCCGCAUGAUAGCCUCUCUUCCAUCUGGGAGGAGGUCUCGCUGUCCUUGAGAAAUCUGGAAUCCCAGGUAUUUAACUUGUGGGAGAGAAAUCUGGGCCUUCUUCUCGGAUACCCGGUAUCCACACUCUGCCAAGUGAUUCAAAACCAAGACAGUAUUUUGAAAGGAGUCUUCUUUAAUUUCACUGGCCACCAAAAUGUGAUCCACAUAUUGUAAAACUAACCCUCGAUUCAAUUUUAAUAACCUCAAAUCCUUUGCCAAAAUUUCUGCAAAAAUAGUGGGAGAAUUUUUAAAUCCCUGGACUAGAACUUGCCAUGUAAGAUGUUGUUUCGGCCCAGUAGCUACAUCAGUCCAUUCAAAAGCAAAUAGUUGCUGGGGUCAGGGUGCAAUGGGAUGCAAAAGAACGCGUCUUUCAAAUUCAACACUGAAAACCAUUUACACUGGCUGGGUAUGGUAACAAGGAGGGUGUAGGGAUUUGGGACCACUGAAUCUAUAUCUUCUACAAUUUGGUUAAUUUUCCUCAGAUCCUGUACCAAUCGGUAUUCUUUUGUUCCUGGUUUCACUACCGGCAAGAUGGCGGUAUUAUAGGGAGACCUAUAAUACCUUAAAAAAACAGUGGCUAUGUAUCGAUGUACCAAGGGUGUUCUGCCUUCUAAAGCUCCUUUGUGAAGCGGAUACUGUUUCUGAUGGACAACUGGGGCUCCGGGCUUUAAGCACCACCAAGGAGGCGACCUAAGCCAAAAGGCACUUUUAGAGAAACAAAAGGAAAAAAGGUUCCUGCGAAGAAUGAUAAUUUUCGUCCACUAGAUGGCAGCCUCGUCACGCUCCAAAAUGUUCAAACUGUGACUGGAAUCCGGAAACAAAAGACAGAAAGUUCAAAGGACACACUGAAAAUGUAACCCUUUCAGGGUUUGGCGAAAACCCAUCAGGGGCUUUGCCCUGCGCUCUUUCGGAUCCGAGACCCCAAAACUCCACGGCAAACAGCUGUUCAAAGUUUAAUUAGCCAAGAGAAAAGAAAGAAAGAUGAGCAGGACCACCCUUCACAAGAUGGAGCCACUAGGUGGCACUCUGGGAACGCAAUUGGAAACCCAACGUUCCAACAGGCUUCCGAGGACAGUAAAGGUGGAACGCGAAGUCCAACAAGCUUACAGGCUGA